GACGAACGCUGGCGGCGUGCUUAACACAUGCAAGUCGAACGCUGAAGUACCAGCUUGCUGGUGUGGAUGAGUGGCGAACGGGUGCGUAAUACGUGAGUAACCUGCCCUUGACUCUGGGAUAAGCACGGGAAACCGGGUCUAAUACUGGAUGCUACAUGUCACCGCAUGGUGGUGUGUGGAAAGGGUUUACUGGUCUUGGAUGGGCUCACGGCCUAUCAGCUUGUAGGUGAGGUAAUGGCUAACCAAGGAGACGACGGGUAGCCGGCCUGAGAGUGGGACCGGCCACACUGAGACUGAGACACGGCCCAGACUCCGACGGGAGGCAGCAGUAGGGAAUGUUGCACAAAGGGCGAAAGCCUGAUGCAACGACGCCUCGUGAGGGAUGACUGCCUUCGGGUUGUAAGCCUCUUUCGGCAGGGAAGAAGCCACAAGUGACGGUACCUGCAGAAGAAGCGCCGGCUAACUACGUG
RNAcentral lists this ribosomal RNA (470 nucleotides) under uncultured bacterium. RNAcentral's name for it is "partial 16S ribosomal RNA". It matches the Rfam family "Bacterial small subunit ribosomal RNA", at positions 28 to 507 of the family's 1533-position model. The record is from RNAcentral.